GAACUAUUUGACUUGUGGACUUCACAGAUGGACAUUGUCAAUAUCUACUGGACUAAAGAAAUUCUCUACUAAGCAGAAAAGGAAUUGGUCUGUAUUGAAGCUGGAAAAAAGAAAAUCAGAGGAGCCAAUGCUGUCAGAGUCCAUCCAAGGGCCAUUUAAAGAUGUCCUGGAAGGAGGUCUGGGCUGUCAGGUCCUGCCAGCAGAAUGAAGAGGACAUGGAGGCAUUUUCAGAUGAAGAGAAACUAACAGGAUUUGCCAGCAGACUUACUCUAAAUAAAUGGCUACAGGAAAUACUAUACAAAUAAAGGAAAUGAUAAAAGAAGAAACUUUGUAAC
Pongo pygmaeus (Bornean orangutan) is the source of this 335-nucleotide long non-coding RNA. RefSeq lists it as uncharacterized. NCBI's taxonomy places the organism in Eukaryota, Metazoa, Chordata, Mammalia, Primates, Hominidae. The transcript is spliced from 3 exons. The record is from RefSeq and is a predicted model, not a curated record.